GAAGACUGACGGGUAGCCUGAUACGCUGCAAGUCGAGACGGCAGCACGGGUGCUUGCACCUGGUGGCGAGUGGCGAACGCCUUUACGAGAGAUCGUUAACAUUUCCUGUAGUGGGGGAUAGCCCGCCCUUUUUAAGGAUUAAUACCGCAUACGAUCUAUGGAUGAAAGCGGGGGACCUUCGGGCCUCGCGCUAUAGGGUUGGCCGAUGGCUGAUUAGCUAGUUGGUGGGGUAAAGGCCUACCAAGGCGACGAUCAGUAGCUGGUCUGAGAGGACGACCAGCCACACUGGGACUGAGACACGGCCCAGACUCCUACGGGAGGCAGCAGUGGGGAAUUUUGGACAAUGGGCGAAAGCCUGAUCCAGCAAUGCCGCGUGUGUGAAGAAGGCCUUCGGGUUGUAAAGCACUUUUGUCCGGAAAGAAAUCCUUGGCUCUAAUACAGUCUGGGGAUGACGGUACCGGAAGAAUAAGCACCGGCUAACUACGUGCCAGCAGCCGCGGUAAUACGUAGGGUGCAAGCGUUAAUCGGAAUUACUGGGCGUAAAGCGUGCGCAGGCGGUUUGCUAAGACCGAUGUGAAAUCCCCGGGCUCAACCUGGGAACUGCAUUGGUGACUGGCAGGCUAGAGUAUGGCAGAGGGGGGUAGAAUUCCACGUGUAGCAGUGAAAUGCGUAGAGAUGUGGAGGAAUACCGAUGGCGAAGGCAGCCCCCUGGGCCAAUACUGACGCUCAUGCACGAAAGCGUGGGGAGCAAACAGGAUUAGAUACCCUGGUAGUCCACGCCCUAAACGAUGUCAACUAGUUGUUGGGGAUUCAUUUCCUUAGUAACGUAGCUAACGCGUGAAGUUGACCGCCUGGGGAGUACGGUCGCAAGAUUAAAACUCAAAGGAAUUGACGGGGACCCGCACAAGCGGUGGAUGAUGUGGAUUAAUUCGAUGCAACGCGAAAAACCUUACCUACCCUUGACAUGGUCGGAAUCCUGAAGAGAUUCGGGAGUGCUCGAAAGAGAACCGGCGCACAGGUGCUGCAUGGCUGUCGUCAGCUCGUGUCGUGAGAUGUUGGGUUAAGUCCCGCAACGAGCGCAACCCUUGUCCUUAGUUGCUACGCAAGAGCACUCUAAGGAGACUGCCGGUGACAAACCGGAGGAAAGGUGGGGAUGACGUCAAGUCCUCAUGGGCCCUUUUGGGGUAAGGGUUUCCACCGUCUUUACAUGGGCCGGAAAACAAGGGUUUCCCACCCCCCGAAGGGGGGACUUAAUCCCCAGAAAACCCGAUAUUGAAUCCCGGAUUUGCCCCUUCGAACCCCAGGGGUCGUAAAACUGGGAAUCCCUUUGAAAACCCCGGAAUACCAAUCCGCGGGGGAAGAAAAAUUU
Molecule: ribosomal RNA, 1369 nt
Filed under: Burkholderia sp. T3C
Lineage: Bacteria; Pseudomonadati; Pseudomonadota; Betaproteobacteria; Burkholderiales; Burkholderiaceae
Description: bacterial SSU rRNA
Rfam family: Bacterial small subunit ribosomal RNA
Source: RNAcentral